Molecule: long non-coding RNA, 1267 nt
Filed under: Cyanistes caeruleus (blue tit)
Lineage: Eukaryota; Metazoa; Chordata; Aves; Passeriformes; Paridae
Description: lncRNA (ENSCCEG00000015590.1)
Source: RNAcentral
AUGUCAGAUGUUGGGGCCAGAUUUUCCCCUCCCUGUCAAUUUAGAGUGAAUCUGCAGGCAAGUGAUUUAUUUCUUUUUUCAGCUUCAGAUGGUCCAAAAAAUGCUGAAGGAAUGAUAAGAAAGGUGACAAGGAACAGCAGAACAGCAGAAUGGUCCUUUUUCUUUGCUCUCAGAGGAAACAGGCUGAGACCAGAGCAGUGCAAAUGCUUCUCAGAGUUAUGCUACCCAGGAUCUAACUCCAGAAAACCUUCUGGCAAUGAGACAUGAGUAUCAACAUCAGCCUUGAUGUAACUCCACUGACAUCACCGGGACCAUGCUACGGCAGAAGUUAUUCCUCUGAGAGGAAGUUCUCUGUUUUAAGAUGAAGAAGAUACAGAAGCAAAACGAGAAGCAGAAUCCAGUGAAUGGGUCCAUUCAUGAGGAUGGAAAGUUUUGGUAGGGUGGACUGAAUCCUGAACUGUCAUUGCUACUUUUUCUCCUCGGCCUUUGACUUGGAGAGGUUUUGUAAGAUGUCAUUCCAUACACACAGACUAAUUCCCCACUCAACAUACCAGUGGCAUUACCCGCCUCUGGCCUCCCACACGCUGUCAUACCCUUAUCGGGACACUCACACACAUGCUAGUGCCAGGACCCUUUGGUAGCUUCAUAAAAAAGCAAAGCCAGUCUUAUGAGUCAGGAUCUGGUAACGCUGAGUGCUGGAGAAAAUGUGCACAAACAGAUAAGCGCAAGGCUAAGGAUAGUGCCUGCCUUCUGGGACUGCCUCUGCUUUAAUGUUACCCAGAAGACAAAGUUGAGAACAUGAAGACCUCUGUAGGCUCCUAUUACUGGUCUGAAAGUUCCUAGGACUUUAUAGGAUGACUGGGAUGGAAGUUUUUAACCCGAUCUUCCCAGGAGAUCUUCCCCAUAUUUCUUGAAACACCUCCAUAUUUAAGAGUGUCAUAUCUUCUUUACAUACAAAUGGACAUUUGUUUGCUCAAAAGUCCAUUCAAUGAAAACGGUGCUUCCCAUGCGGUGAGGGAAAAUCAGAUGCAUUCAACCACACUUCUGCUCCCUCAGCCUUCUCUUGAUUCUCACCUUAGCAUGUCAACCACUUCAUACAUAACUCAGCUGUUCUAGAGCUCAGCUAUUUCACAUAUCCUAGGUCCAAUCUGCUCUGUGGGUAGGGGUUUUCAGGUAAAAAAACUGUAAGUGAAGGUGUGAAGGUUAGCUCUGGAGAUUUAGCCCAGGAAAUAGGAUUCUGUCCUAACUGAGCUGGCUUCGCCAGAAC